GAAGAUCUCUGUUGUUGUAUCUUCUCAGUAAGCCAAAAUUUGCACAAAUCACAUAUAAAGGUAAAAAGUGGGAACAGAAAAGUAAAUCAAAAGGUUUACAUAGGAAUUCGCCUCCGAUGCAUGAAUUCUUCCUUAAAGCAGUGAAAGAAGCAAUGCGGUCCUUCAUUUGAAAUAUUGUUGAGGAAUUUGGUUCUGCUACUCGAAAUGAAUAAAAGUUCCAAGUUUUGUUCGAUGGUGAUUCUUAGGAAAGCUUAUCAGCGAAGUGUUUAACACAAUGAUUCUGCAAUGGCAUUUGAGUCUUGAACUCUUGUUCUAUCUAUCAAUUUUCGACUGACUUAAGUUAACUGCUGCCGUUCUAUUGUUGAAAUCAUAUGAGAGAUUCAAUACAAUAGAGCAUUGGGCGCUUGGUAGCACCCCAGAGCAAGUGGUCAGGGUGAAUACAUGUACAGAGUAUAGAGUAUGGACCUGGAAUCAUUUUGCUCGGACGGGUAGAAGCCUUAUACAUAUGGUUAUAGCACGAAAUUAGCUGAAGUGGACCAAAGUGUACUUUUUGUGUGAGUUGUUCCGUAGGGAAAGCGGUGUUCUCCUCGACGACAACAUCAACAGGUAGUUUUUAC
Lolium perenne is the source of this 617-nucleotide long non-coding RNA. RefSeq lists it as uncharacterized. Lineage: Eukaryota; Viridiplantae; Streptophyta; Magnoliopsida; Poales; Poaceae. The record is from RefSeq and is a predicted model, not a curated record.